This 253-nucleotide unclassified non-coding RNA is filed under the name uncultured Gemmatimonadota bacterium. RNAcentral's name for it is "uncultured Gemmatimonadetes bacterium contains 16S-23S intergenic spacer region". It matches the Rfam family "Bacterial small subunit ribosomal RNA", at positions 524 to 776 of the family's 1533-position model. Lineage: Bacteria; Pseudomonadati; Gemmatimonadota. The record is from RNAcentral.
GACGGAGGGCGCGAGCGUUGUUCGGAAUUACUGGGCGUAAAGCGCGGGCAGGCGGUCCUUUAAGUCCUUUGUGAAACUCCGGGGCUCAACCCCGGACAUGCGUAGGAUACUGGAGGACUAGAGACCGGUAGAGGCGAGUGGAAUUCCUGGUGUAGCGGUGGAAUGCGUAGAUAUCAGGAAGAACACCUGUGGCGAAGGCGGCUCGCUGGGCCGGUUCUGACGCUCAGCCGCGAAAGCUAGGGUAGCAAACGGG